Molecule: non-coding RNA, 415 nt
Organism: Paenibacillus sp. HGF7
Lineage: Bacteria; Bacillati; Bacillota; Bacilli; Caryophanales; Paenibacillaceae
Rfam family: Bacterial RNase P class A
About the family: Ribonuclease P (RNase P) is a ubiquitous endoribonuclease, found in archaea, bacteria and eukarya as well as chloroplasts and mitochondria. Its best characterised activity is the generation of mature 5'-ends of tRNAs by cleaving the 5'-leader elements of precursor-tRNAs. Cellular RNase Ps are ribonucleoproteins.
Source: Rfam
AAAGUUUGACAGACAAUCGCUGGUGAUGCUUGCAUCGCGAGAGGAAAGUCCGGGCUCCAUAGGGCAGGGUGCUGGAUAACGUCCAGUCAGCGCGAGCUGAAGGAUAGUGCCACAGAAAUGGACCGCCGAUGGCGUCGCAAGACGCACAGGCAAGGGUGGAACCGUGGUGUAAGAGACCACGAGGGGUACUGGUGACUUUACCCCUGGUAAACCCCACUUGGAGCAAGACCUAAUGGGACGCGGUCUGCAGGCUUGCCUGACAGACAGCCUUAGCCCGAGGCGCGUCCGGGUUGGUCGCUUGAGCUGUAUAGCAAUGUAUGGCCUAGAUAGAUGAUUGUCACUUCAAUGGUGGGAGGGUAUCGUAGCCCGCUGCACCACCGGAAGUACAGAACCCGGCUUACGGCAAGCUUUCCAU